This is a long non-coding RNA of Columba livia (rock pigeon), 11683 nucleotides long. RefSeq lists it as uncharacterized. NCBI's taxonomy places the organism in Eukaryota, Metazoa, Chordata, Aves, Columbiformes, Columbidae. The transcript is spliced from 4 exons. The record is from RefSeq and is a predicted model, not a curated record.
AGAAGACAUAAUGUUCAACCUGGCUUUCAAAGUUUCUCACCUAAUUUCUGCUCUUUGGUGGAGUCUCAGCAGUUGCAGCAGAGUGAAAAAGUCUUGUAAAGGCAGCACCAGCAAACAGGUCAGCUGAUGGUCAGCAUCACACUCCACUAGUUCAUCCGUACAACCCUAAAUGCUUCCAGAGGAGUAACUUUUGUGCCCCAAGGAACAUUUUUAAGAUCUACCUGUGCUAUUAGAUUUCAUAUAUGGAUUCUGUUUUUCUCAAACACUACAUUAAUUGGAAUGAGCAAGUUGCAUGCCUAACUGUGUAAGGAAAGAAAAGGAAGAUGUCACCAUACUGGAAAACCUCACCUGACUUCUCUUGGUAAAUAUGGUCUGAAUUUGAACUUGAAUUGAACAAACAUUAUUCAAGCUUCAAAAUGUUUGUGAAUAGCUAGACAAUGUUAUUAGAUAAUGUUUUUUAGAUAAACAAGUGUUUGGCUUGGUGCACCAUGGAAAUUAUUGUGUGUAAACAAAGUUGUCUUCAAUUGUGAUGAACAGCACAGAGAAGCAGCUCAGGUGAUGGUGAUCUGGGCAGAUCCUUCCCAUGUACACACCUCAGCGCGGCCUUGUGAGCCAGGCUGGCCAUAUCCUCUGAGGAGCAGACUUGGGCAAAAGGAGUGCAAAUGUCCCCCACUCUUCAUUCCCAAAUUACAAUAAAUGAACAAAGAAAAGCAGAAUUCUUAAACAGAAUGUAGUUACAGUCAGUUGGAAAGCGAGGAAGUGCACUGCUCUUUAACACAACACACAAAUUCCCAAGGUUAUUUCCAUGUGAAAAUAUAUUAAAAAAGAGAUUAAAAAGCCUGAAAUGGUAUUAACUGUGCAAACUCAGGUUACUUGCCUCAUCAGUGAGUCCAAGAACCCAAGCUUGCCUAACACUAGCUCCUCUAAAACCACUGAGCUUUAUGGCCUUCUUUAUGGUGAGAAUGUGAUAGAGUUUUACUAACUGCUCACAAAACCCUUUAAAAAACACGCCUCUUAACUUCUGAUAGAAAUGCACCAUUGCAAGAGGGACUCUCAGAAAUCCCUGUCACCCUUAAUUUAAACCUUCUCUCUACCUGUGCCUGACGCCAAUUAAGUGUUUCUUUAGAAAGCAAAUGUCCAAAGCGUGAAGAGGUACAUGCAGGAGAAAUAAAAGGAUAGGGAAGAAAGACGAAUGCGGAGAAGUCAAGAUCUAUGAUGACAUAUUUGCAUCUCCAUUUAGGUGGUGAAGAGCAGAUAGGCUGGUACCUCUGCUGAGUUAUAAUAGAUCAGGCUGGAAAAAGGUGAUUUUUUUUAAAAUUAGCCAGGUCCUGCAUUUCCAGCCCUUCGCUCCAUGCAAACCUGUUAAAUACAUGAUGCAUGAAAAUCCCAACAAUAAUAAAAAGCUGUAAUUACAGGCAUAAGGUGGAAGAAAAGUUUUGUUUUAAGAAUGGUAGUGUCAGCAGUGGUGAUAUCUCUGACUGUAGGUUGUUUCAUUGCAACAUUUUACCACUUCUUGCUAGUCCUGAUAAGGGUUGUAAAAGUGUAUAAAAACAGGCAACUUUGCCCUGUUUGACUCAUUUCACUUAAUGACUAUUGCUCAAGGUGGAUCAGAGAGAAAACAGAAAUGAAACUUUCUAUACUCAGGGCACACAAAACUUCAGAUACACAGGGUACUUCAAAGCACCUGGAAGUACUCUCUUCUUUAAUUGUAAGGCAUUUGUUUUUUGGCUGGUGAAAUCUGGACACUUCUAGUAAGGUUUUGGCUAAGAGCAUAAUGUCCUGAUUUGCACUAGUUCCCAACAUUUCCUGAGAUCUGUUUUUAAUGGUUUUGUAAGAGUGACGCUGACCUCUCGUUCACGGCAGCCCAGGCUGAGUCAGAAAACAGGCAGGGCGUUUUGGCCAACCGCCUUCCUUGUUAGUUAUGAGCAGCAGAGUAGUUUAAUAUUUGAAGCACUCUACUGGAACCGCAUUGGCUCAUUUAUUUGCAAACAUUUCAGGGAAAGGAAAACAAGCUGAGUGGUGGGGCAGGGCAGAUAAGGAACUGUGUUGUUUUUCUCUUCGCUGAUUAAUUUAUUGAUUUUGCAGAAAGAACUAAGUCUGAAAGUUUUAACCUUACUCACCUGUGUUGCAGUUUGCCUGUUUAAAAGAACAUGGUAAAAUCCCAUUUAUGCCAGGUUGGUUUGUUCCAGUUACUGCUCUCCUUGCUCUGGUGUCAGACACUUCCCUCACGAGCACAUUAGAUUAAAAAAAAACCUAUAACUGCGUGGGAAAAAAAUGUAUAAAGUCUUCUCUGAGUUAGUUGUAUCCCUAUUCAAAUCCCACUGCAACAAAGCUCAAGAAAUGCUGGGUGCUCACAGAUCUUUAUGGCUGGGGCAGCAGCAACCCACUGCUGGGGUCUCGGAGCUCCCUCUCCACGAGCCUUAGUUAAGGUCCUAAAAUGCCAGUAUGUCAGUCAGCUAAUUUCUUCCUUAUGAAAUAGCUAAGCCUCCUCAGCUGCUGUGGGGAGUAUAGUAUUUUCAGAGGACUCUGCCCGCUCCCAAGCCUGCAGCAGCUUGGGUGUUGUUGGACUCCAUCAAGGAAGAAAACAGUAAAACUGCUCCGUCAGUGCAAGUGCCAGCUCACGAUGGCAUGUUGAUGUAUUCGCCUGACUAAACACCACUGACACGCUGGUGAACUGGUAGGUUAUGCAAUGCAUUGCACAGGUAGGCUGUAGAAAACAUACAGUUUAAGAGAAACACAAGCAGCUGAAUGCUGGGCAAGUCACGAAUUCCCAGUCUUUGGCUGCUACAGCUCCAUUUGGGAGCAGAAGAAGGGCUCGGUGGGCUCCAGACUAGUUGUUUGGAUUAAAUUCAGUCUCUUCCUGCAAGCCUAAAUGAGUGAAGAGUGAACGCCCUCAUUGUUUUGUCUCAGUGUUUACAAAGGGCUGGCAUGUGCGCAAGUGCUGUGCUGUUCCAGAGAGCCCAGAGAAGUGUCCCAGGCGAUGGAAUUCCCCCAGCCCCACCUGGGAGUCCCCCCAGCUCCCCCAUGGGCUGGCUCUGCCCGUGGGAGAGCUGCUACCAGGGCUAGUGGAGGCACGACGGUUUAGCCCAGCUCAUCUCCAAGCCUUGCUGGGUUUUGUUGCUUUUUUACAUUUUCCUCUCCCCACUCAAAUGUGCUUCCCACACAGUAAAGAUCCCCUGGCUUCCAAGAUGUUAUUUAGAAAAAGGAUUAAGUAUUGAAAGGAAAAUCAUCUUCUGCUCUAACUUGCUUUUCAUCUGGAAAAAAGUCUGGAAAAUUUCCUUGUGAAUCCUGGCACAUAUUAGCUUUUAAUGAUCUGUGUGCCCUCAUUGAUUUGAAAUUGCAAGAUAGUUGGUUUUGCUCCCAGCUCUGGAAACUGCGGUUGAGUCAAGCUGCGUUGCUUGGACACAUGCAAGUCAAGUUUGGUGGCUCCUGUCACAAAGACAAGAAGGUGCUGAGUUAACCCUGUUGCCCUUCACUGAUUACACAUUAGUAAACAAGUCUGUUGAGGAUGUUUCAGGAGGAAGAGCACCCAGCUGUCUUGGGUCUGCUGGGUUAAUAUGCAAACAGUGAACGACUUUUCACAGCUCAGGAGAUACUGUUCUGGGCAGGCAUAGGAGAGGUCCCAUGGUAAGAAUAAAUUCUACUUGAGGUAAAGUUGCAUUUCAAAGUGACACUGAAAAGUAAGUUAAAAUUGGGAUUUACAUUUUGAGGUAAAGGCUCAAAGAGAUGGAAUGGGUUGCUGAUGCAAUUAAGCAUAUGUAUUUGCCUCAAAGGUGACUGGUUAGGGGACUUUUUUUAGUUCUUGCUUAAACUCAGACACUCCCUUGGAAACUCAGGUGAGAAGAUUGCCAGCCCAAGAAAUCAAGGUGAUGACACUCAUCGAAACAGAAGGCCCAAAUUCAUGCCAAUAGCAUCAGUUUCAUCUAAAAAAAAAAAAAAAAAAGACCAUUAUAAACCUAGAGUCAGGCUAUAAUCCUUAAUGAAGUGGUUUUAGGUUUGUAAUAUUGCAACAUAUAUAUGCAUAUAUAUGUCUGUAUGUAUAUAUAUGAAUAUAAUUCAUAAUACGUAGUUCCUUAGAGCAUGCCUAAAAAUACACAUUGGCUCAGGCUGAAAGCUUCCGUCUCACCAGCUUCACCAUAUCGUUCAUGGUGAGCAGUGCAGUUGCACAGCCCAGUUCCCAUGUCCCAACCCCCCAGGACCAGGUGACUGUGCCCCCUGCACUGGGACAGACUCCCCCGUGCUCCAUCACCCCGUCUAAGCCACAGACUAGAAACAUGCACAGCGAGAGCCAAAUAACCACACACACCCCAACCGGUUUUCAAAAUCUGAAAUAAUAGCAGCUAGAUCACUUAAAAAAAAUCCUUAGGGUGUGCCAAGGACCGAAAGAGAUGCAUGCUGAGAACAGUUCUGAGUUCUUUGGGGUUUUUUUUUGCACAUGAAAUCUGAGUAAUUUCCCAUUACUGUGAGUUUUACGCCUUGUCUAUGCAUGAAUUCACAAGUCAGGGGCUGUGUUGCCACAAAUGUUUUGGUUCAGUUCCUGCAAGAAGGCUUUCGGUUUUAUAGCGUGUAGAACUAGUCAAACAUGUCUUUGUUUUAAAUGCUCCCUCUGCUGGCUAUAGUGCGAAUUAUUAUAUUUUAAACAAAAGCCUCCAACUAGAAUUCGAUUGUAAUGAAAUUACUAGGUUAACAGUAAAGAUUCCUUUUCUUUAUUCCUCCACCAUACUCUGACUCCCACAUCUCGAGUGUUCUGCACCUGCCAUAUAUUGACACAGUGUUUGUGGGAGAGGUAGUUGUCUAUGACACCAAUUAUUAUUGCUGCUUUAAAGCUCUCGAUAUAAAAUACAUUCUCUCAUUUAACAAACUCUGCCUUUGCUAUACGUCUAGACUUUCUUAUGAAGUGAAGUGCUGUGGCUUGUAGAGAUUCUGCUUCAGAAAAGAACAAGUAAUUUUGAUGGAAAUAUUUUAUGUUGUCUUGCUUAUAUAGAGUCAGAAAGAAUUAUUUAAAAUAUAGUUUCUGUAAAAACAGUUUUAAAGGACCCAUUGCAGGGUCUCUUUUUUGUUUUCUUUUACCUGUCUUCCUGUUGAACAGUUGAUAAACACUUUAAAACGCUAUAGAAAAUAAUUGUGAAAAAUUAUUAAAUUUACGUUAGGGGUAAAAGUCUUAUAUAAAUGAUGUGCUGCCAACUACUUAAAAUCUAUAGAAGAAAUAAAUGCCAUCGGGUUAGUGCCGGAAAAAAUGGAAUGAAGAACAAGGAGAAAACCUGUACCUCCCCUAGGGGUGAACAAAAUGAAAGGCAACUCAGCCCAGAAGAGUUUUCUAAGUGUGAGGUGAGGAGAACAGCCCGGCCAGGAGGGUAUAUAUGGCAGAGUAACGCUUGAGUUAAGAUGCCUCAUGUACUCAUCUAGUGCCAUUUGAAGGUGCUGUUGAGGAUUUUGUGCCAGAGACUUUGUCAGGUCUCAGGUGGCAGCUCAGAGUCCAUUGGGUGCUCACUGUGCAUCCUCCCGCAGUAGCACCGGGCAUGGGGUAAUGUGCACCCACCCCUGGGAGGCACAGCCCAGCCUUGCCCAGCCUGCAAACUCAGCCUUUUCACUGAAUCUAAGCAAACAUGAUGGGAAAAAAAACUGUUCUGUGGGGCCCAGCCUGUUUUUAAUGCAUUCAAUUGAAUGCAAGCAGGAGAAUGGCUCCUGCUGAUUUAAAAAUAGGCUCAGAAGUAAUUUGAAGCUUUUUUGCUCAGCACUUUUUUUCAUCAGGGGGAAAGCUUUAUAUUCUGUGAGAGUCACAGGAACCUGCUGGACAAAAUGUCAAACCCCCACAUUAGGAUAUUUCAAAAGUAAUACUGAUAUGAGCUUUCACAAAUGAGAGAGCAGGGGAAGAAAAUGGGUGACAGUUCAGAAAGAAAGAAUGUGAAGGGAAGGCAAAUAGGAAUGGAAAUGGAACUAGGGCUUCCACUGGCUAAAACAGUGACACUGAUGCCUCUGCUACGUGAAAACUCAAAUUGGAAAUAUUGUACAUUGGGCUGAAAAAAAACAACAAAACAACCGAACAGAAAAAAACCCACAACAAACAAUGGUCCUGGAGAAACAAACGAACCAACCAAACCACAAAACAAACAAACAAAACCCCCAAGCCCCUAAACAAACAAAAACAACAUCACAGAUCUAUUUAACUUUAUUUCUUUGUUCUUCAUUUUGAUAGCACAUUUCAAUCACAGUUGCCAAUUGGGUCUUACAAGAUCUUUCACCUCCACUGGGAAAGAAGCAAAUAAUGGUAAUGCAUAAGAUAUUGAAUGUAUUCACGUCACAUUUGUUGUACUUUGGAGUUCCAAAUAUCAUAAAUAAGAGAACAUUAAACAGGCUGGUUUUGUUUUGAACAACAUAAUUGUUACAGAUCAUAGCAGCUUAAAAGGUUUAAGACAAGUUAAUCGACUUCCAGUAUGUUCAUUUGAAAAAGUUUCUAACAAAGUUUAGUAAGAGAUUUAAAAAUAUACCCAUGAUGCACCUACUUAAAAAAUAUAGAGGCCCAAACACUACAAAACAAUGUUUUAAAGAUUAAGCAUUUCUGUUUAGUUUGUAGGACUUAAACCCAUGAUGGCCUUUCUACUUUGCCUAGGGAUGUGAUUUUGGAAUUACUUUGAUAAAGGUUAGGAAAUACAGCUAAUUUGUGAUUUCUAUACACCACAAAACAUCUUUAAAUUAGUCUGGGUUUCCAGAAAUGCUGAACACCCACCCUUUAAGAGAUUCCAAGCUAGGCAAACAAAACCUCCAUUUAUUCCUGCAAAUAUUCAUCAAAAUACUAGAGAGACCUGCUAAUAUAGUUCCCAGGUCCCGAAAGCAGGAUGCAAAUGCCUAUAGGUUCUUUUUUUUGUUUAAAGCUUACAUUUGAAUGCUUUGAUGGUAAUUAGGAAGAUAUUCUUGCAUAGAUAAAAAUCUAAUUGUAGGAGGGGAAACAAAAAAAAAAAGCUAUCUUCAAAAAGUAGCCAGCCAUACUCCUUGAUUUAAUGAAAUGUAGACAGAUUUAUUGAGUAUCUUCUUUUCCAAGAGUGACUUUGUAGUAUGCGCUAGUGAAAUUUUGUUACAAAUACUCGAUCGGAUCCUACAACGUGCAAAGUGCCCUAAGCUGCUCUGUGAAAUAACCAAGGAAUGAAGUUGCUGGGUACGCCUGAGGAAACGCUUCAGGAGAUGCAGGACUAAACACCUGAAGAAAUCAGGAUGUUGCAACAUGCAUUUAAUCUUCAUCUCUGGCUACUGGGCAGCAGCUUUCUGUAACCGUGCCUGCCGGCCAUCAACUUCCAACUUCGCGUACCAGGACUACGUGCAAAGGAGAACAAAGCAAUGUAGGAGGAAAGGUGAGUUUGGACUAACACUUACUCUAAGGUUUACUCUGAAUUUUAAUCAGGUGUCUUGUGCAGCAAUAUACUGAAAGGUCUUCUUAUAGCUGGAACUCAGACCUUUUUUUACCUGUUACAGGAUCCAUCACAUAUCUUUGCAGCUAUCACAUACUUAAACCAUGUCACUGCACGAUAAAAGUAGUCAGGAUAUUUUGACAGAACUAGGUAAAUAUUGUAACAUCUCAUCCAAGUUGUGCUGCGAUCUUAGAUGUCGCAUCAAGCUAUUGAUAAUUUAGUAAACAUAUUCCAUCCAGUUAUAUACUUACUACCGUUUCUUGUGCCAAGACUUCAAUGUGCUUCAGUGCAUGAAGAAAAUUUACAACUGACUCCAUUAAUAUGUAUUCCAGCUCUCCAUUCAUUUCAAUGAAAAAAACAGCAGCAAUUAUAUUAUAGCUUCAUAGCAGAUAUUUAUAACUUGGCUAUCAACACAUGCUGAUCUAAAGCUUUGCAGAUAGCUCUCAAGCAAACUUAAUUAUUAUAGAACUUAUAUUAACCACUUUCUUUUUCCAGUAUUACAGUUACUACUAUCUUUUAAUGACAGCAGGAGGAAAUAAAUUACAUCUUUUCUGACAUGGGUUUACUCUGUGGGAAAUCCAGGAAGAAACGUGUUGUUACAACUCAGUGUAACAAUAUAUUUUUAUUCUCUUUAAGUCAUAGUUCAAAAUCAGGUAAAUGGAGCUGUCUCCAUACAGAGGAAAAGGACUCUGGAGCAGAUUAGUAAUUUGUCUUUUGAAUGGACAUAACUUUGGUUGCUGUUUUAAGUGUAAAUUAUAUCUAUUGAAGCUGUGCUUAUGGAGGAAAGAGGGUUUAAAUCCAGUAAAAAAGUUAUAAGUCUUCUGCAGUGUUAACUGGGUAUCUUGACCAAAGCUUAUUCUGAUUCAGAUUGCCACUCAGCUGCUCUAAUUCCAUCGAGUCUUUGUAAAAACUAAAUGGAAGAAGAAUCUGGGCCACUGUUGAAAAAGCUUUGGCUUGUGACCUCCGCGUGAACCUAAGCCCAGAAAUGAAUUUCAGCCUGCAUGACUGAGCCGACAUUGAGGCCUUGUCCCAUUAAUAGCUUUUCUUAAUACUUACAACCACAUUAACAUCCUGAUGUUUCUAGGAAGCAAUGAUUCAGCACAGCCACUCUCUUAUUUAAUUCAGAUAUCAAUCGAAGUGGACUGCUCUGUAUAUAUUUUCAAUGACAGAAGGCAGUUUGCUCUACCAGUGCCUUUUUUUUUUUUUUAAAGAACUUUUCAGAAUCCUGCCAUAAGAACCGCUCUAAUGAAAUUGUCUUUGUCAUGAUCUCCCAACAGCCAAGAAGCCUCAUCUUCUGGUACUUUGGCAGCAGCCAGGACAGAGAUGAGCCAGCUGCACAGGAGGACCCACAACAGAGCAACACCACCCGUCAUGGCCAUCAAAGAAGGAUGGAAAUUCCAAAGCUAUGGGGGCCGUUCAGUGCCUGCCAGUCACCCUCGUGUCCCUGUGCUUCACCUGCACCUGUGAAUUCAGCUUCACAGCUACUUUGCGAGGUAGGAAAUUACUGCUCCCUCUCUUGCAGAAGAAGAAAGUGAGGCGUAAAGAGAUUAAGUUGUUCUCCUGGGGUCCCACAGGAAAUCUGUGGUAAAGCUAAGGACGAAUUUAAUCCACUACUUUAGUCACGGGACAGCCAUUCUCUCCUCUUUGCUAGAAACACUGGGCUUUUGACACAUCCUUUGCUUCUGCAAGCAGUAAGCAUCCUGGACAACACACAGUGUCCCAAGUUGUUUCACUUCCCUGUCUUGCUGUCUGGAAUUUACAGACUGGCUCAAACUGUAGAGAUUGUUGCACAACAAGAUCAUCUUACCUCACGUUUUGGGUCAGUCUCCAACACAAAGUUUAGCUGCAAAGAUCAGAUUUAAAUCUUCCGUAUAGAUUAGAGCCCACUUCUGUUCCCUUGCUGCCAUCCUUCCAGUAAGCAUGAAAUAUAAUAAACAUUACAAGCACAAAAGAAAAGUCAAUGAACAAGAACUACUACUAAUUACAAACAUUAGUGCAAAUGACACAGUAGAUUUUUUUUAGUAGCUUGUAUGUUCUGUAAGGAGGUCAUGAAGCUGAGGCUUUAAACACAGACAAAGCCACAUUCUUUAGCCAAAUCAGUAGUCAGCUUUGAAGCUCACUCACAUAAACCACCUGGAUUCUGCUGCUACACAUAGUAUUUUGUCCUAUAUAUUUCUAUGCAAGCUGUAAUACUUUUUAUUGAAAAUAUAUUUAGUCCUGUGCUUUUAUAAAAUAUAAAUAACUAAAAAGACUAAAUUCCAAAGCUGAAUUACAUGUUUGGCUAGGAGACUUGUCUAGCAUGGUCUUAACUGCCCAGAAGACCUUUUUAUUUUUUUCAAAUUUAAACGAGCCAUUUGACUAUGUGCCUAAAGCUGACACUUAAAUCCAUGCAUGACAUUAAAAUGCAUGGCUCCCCUGUCAAAGGCGAGACUGCUCACACUUUCUUUGACAGCAAGUGCUCACCGCUGUUGAAAACUAGCUCCCAUUUUUACAUAUUCACAUGUAGAUGUAGGUGUUUGGCUUAUCUCCCAUCACUCAAAAAUUGAUGGCCUUUGUGACUAAUUAAGAGUCAAAGCUUGAGAGCUGCAGCCAGUUAAGAAUGCUACAGGAAUGCUGAUCUCCCUGCUCAACAUUUGCUUAUGUUUGGCAAUAGUCAUCUGAAAAAAAGGGGGGCGCCAAAAAAUAAUCAAAGUUGGAAAUGGUAUUUCUCAAAAUUCUUUGCUGGGCAAGGUCAAUCGAGCUAGUAAAUGCUGUAGUUAGUCGUCUGUAACUACCCCCCACCAGCAGCUGCAGUUGAACGGAUGAAUUUGGAAAAGUGCACUUUUUUACUGUUUGCUCUUUAGCAAGAACAGACACCAGAGAUGGGCACCCUGUGUCUUCUGGAGAGAUUUCUCUUCAGAGGUUUUCAUCCAGCCAUUUGAUGUAGCUGUUCCUGGUCUGAACACCCGCUGAGAAGUCAGUAGGCCAGAUGGUGAAUAUCAUACAGCCAUGAAAGCAGUCAUCAAAGUGAUCGAGCGUGACUUCCACGCCGGCGUUCUCCAAGCGCUUGGCAUACAUCACCCCAUCAUCUCGCAGGACGUCGUUCUCACAGGUCAGGAUGUAAGUCUUGGGCUGCAUCUGCAGAGUUUCAUUGUCUGCAAGGAGCGGGACUGCUCGUACAUCAAGCAGUGCUGGGAUCUCCUGGAUGAUUUCAGCCCUGCCUGUGGUUUGUAUUAAAGGCUUGUAGUUCUUUUUGAAUGAUGAAGGUAGUAGAGAUGUCCAGUUCAGACGUCCUCUGAAAGACAGAGCUUCGCCAACAUCCAGAGCAGUGUGGUUGUUAAUCAGCAGUGAGUGAGCCAAGUCAUAAUUCCCAUUGAAAUAAUCUAUCCAAUAGUUGAUCAUGACAUAACGAGGAAGAACAGGCAUAUUCAUGUUCUGCUGAUAAGAAGGUGUAUUGAAGUCAAACGCCUGAAGGACUGGGUAAAUUAAGGCCUGCAGUUUUGGUCUGACGGUCAAAUGCUCAUCUUUGCUAAGCUGUGUGAAGAAUAUAGGGUAGAAUUGGGAUUAUAAAGAAAAUAAACAUUACAAUAUCAACACAGAGUUUCAUGCAGGCAACUGCUCAUUUGACAAUUUUUAGGCUGAAUUCUGCUCUUAUGCAUAUAAUGUUGCUCUCUCGUCUGAAGUAUUAGCAGGGCGAUCUUUCUUAUUUUGUUAAGAUGGCCAUCCAGGCAGACUCAGUAUCCUGUCUCCAGCAGAAAACAAUGGCAGAAGCUUGUUGGAGGGUGUAAGAAAAAAAAAAAAGUAAAGUGGCAUUUUGCUAAUGCAAUUUCCAGUUAAACAAUGUGCAAUUGAAGAACUUCCUGAAUCAAAGGAGCUAUUCUUGCUUUUAACAGUUUUUAAUGGAUUUUUCUUCCAGGAAUUUAUCUAAUUUUUUUUUUUUUUGAGCAUAUGCAAAUUGUUGGCAUCCACAGUUUUCCCUAGCAAAGGCUCACCUUGUACAGAAUUACCUCACUGUGACCUGAACCCACCAUAUGCAUUUGAUUUUAUCCUACCAAUUAUACAUUUGGUACCCUCUAAUCUUUUUCUGGAAGAAUCAGCAAACACUUGUUUUGUUUCAUCUUCUAUACGAGAUUCAAAGUUCUCCAUCAUAUCCCAUCUUAUCCGUCUCUUUUUCAGGCUGAAGAACCUUAGUGUAUUUAACCGCUCCCUGAAACAGUCCCACGUCAUUGCUUUAAAAAGAAUUAUGCAUCAGGGAAAUGAACUAGGAAUGCUGCUUUCAAAACACGGGUUGGCGUAUCACC